RNAcentral lists this long non-coding RNA (1522 nucleotides) under Sus scrofa (pig). RNAcentral's name for it is "lncRNA (ENSSSCG00030016057.1)". The record is from RNAcentral. Lineage: Eukaryota; Metazoa; Chordata; Mammalia; Artiodactyla; Suidae.
AUUUCUUUGGGCUGCUCCUGCAGCAUAUGGAGGUUCCCAGGCUAGGGGUCGAAUCGGAGCUGUAGCCACCGGCCUACGCCAGAGCCACAGCAACGCGGGAUCCGAGCCGCGUCUGCAACCUACACCACAGCUCACGGCAACGCCGGAUCGUUAACCCACUGAGCAAGGGCAGGGACCGAACCCGAAACCUCAUGGUUCCUAGUCGGAUUCGUUAACCACUGCGCCACGACGGGAACUCCCCAACUCUUUAAUAUUAAUGAUAUAUUGCUAUUUUUUAAAGUAAGUUAUAUAAUAAGAUAGAUGGUAGACAGAGAAUAUACUAUUUGAAUAAGUAAAUGUUUGUGUAUAUGUGUGCUUAGAAGGGAUCAGGAAGGCUAGGUUACCUCUGGAGAGAGGUGCUGAUGUCUCAUUUUCACUGUAUCCUUUAUAAGCUAUCAUAUCAUUAGAUCAUUAUUCAGUAAGCAAGUAUUAUUUUUAUGACAAAAAGUUGUUAAAAAUAAAAACCAUAUCAUUAUACCUUGGAAUAUUUUGACAGGCUGUCAUAGGUGGCAGGAUAGAAACUUCUUAUUUCCAUUAUUUACAAGUUGCUAAUUUUGAGUUACCUUUUUAGAGGAGGAGAGAAAGACUUGCGGGUGCUUCUGAGAGCUCAGAAGGAUUUUUACAGUUCAGUUGGGGAUUUUAUCUUGUUUUGCCCUAGUUCCAAUUGACCUUUUCUUUAGUCCUUGAUUUCUAAAUAUCUCUUAGUCUAAAAUGAUCUGCUCUUGCAAUCUUUCUAGGCACUCCAGGUUGAGCUCAGUUUCCCAUACAGGACAUCACUUACAGUAAAAGUUACCCAGAGUUUCUGUUUUCUUAUGAAAGCACUGUGGUAUCUGUAGCAUCACUCUGUAUUGUCUUAAAAUGAACUGUGGCCAGGCAAUGGGUGUCAUCUCUUCUAACAGCAAAAGCUUCUAUCUGCAUCACUCAAACAUUCCUGUUUCUACCUUAACUUAAUCUCAAUCUUCAGUACCAACUCUCAAAGAGAAAAUACAAAACACAAAUUUCCCAGGACCAAGAUCCUCCUGGAUUACUCUAGAAUGUGUUAUGGUUUCAGAAAUCAAUUUUAUGACCAUUUGUGGAAGUCAGUCCCCCUGCUCCGUCCAUUUGCAUACCUUCUGCACAUCUUAGGGUGAGGAGAGUGGUCCAGAGCUUAGAGCAGACCAUGUCUGAAACAUGGCUCUCCAUCACAAUGUUGUAUAACCUCGGGCAAGUAACUAAAGCCUUACUGAGCCUCGUUUUUCCCUCUUGCAAAGUGAGGACAAAGAUGAAACUGACCUCACUGGGUCCUGUGAGGAUGAAGUAAAAGGGCAUGUGAAAGCAUUUAGAACAAUGCCUGGCUUUUAGGGGUGCCCAAUAAAGCUUUACCUUCUAAUGCUUCUCCACUAAUUAACUGUCCGCCUAAUACUCUGAAAGGAUUAGUACAAAUCUCCUAGGUGAAUCUUUACUCUCUAAAAAUAAGUAGUUUGAGAUUAACAUAUAAAUGCUA